Molecule: long non-coding RNA, 31452 nt
Filed under: Musa acuminata (dwarf banana)
Lineage: Eukaryota; Viridiplantae; Streptophyta; Magnoliopsida; Zingiberales; Musaceae
Description: long non-coding RNA (MACU_LNC000942)
Source: RNAcentral
CGUCGUAUAAUCCCAACCAAAUACUUCUUUGCCCGCUCGUCGUUUGGGUUUGCGAUGCUGUCUUUUCUGGUGGCGUUCACCUGCAACAUCUACCAACAAUUAUAUGGCUGUCAGAAGACGAAGUCGAAGGACUUGAUUCCAUUCGUAAUGGAGCUCACCGUCUUCCCCGUCAUCUGUUUCCUGGUGUUGUUCUUUUGUGGCUCCGAUUUCGGUCUAUCUUUCCUUCGUCUUUGGCGUUGAGUCAACAAGCAUGAUCGUCCACAUCUUUGGAAUCUGCAGCUUCAUGAUGUAACGUGGGUUCUACCUAUUACGGUAUGCCACCUGUUCUAGCGGUUUGUGGUAGUAGAAGUCAUUGGCCAGUUAAUAUCUUGCGUGUACAAGCAGCAACAAAGGCAUGUUAUAUAUGGACGCUAUUUCAAUGUAACUUUAAUGUGGUUUUAUCUUCUAUCUUCGAUUAGAUGAUAUCGUUGCAACGGUAGUAGACAAAAGAGCUGACCAUGAAUAAUGGUGUUGGCCCUCUCUAUUGUUUUUGUUUUUGACCAAGUCCAUAUGACAAAGCUUUUGAUCGGAUCUUACCCUGUAUCGUCAUGUAUACUGUCUCAUGUCGAGUGACAGAUUUCCCCUGUCACAUGCAAAUUGCAGGGAGAUGUAUGGACGUUCUUUCGUUUUAAUCUUCUGUGACACUCACAUAGUCCAUAUCGUACAGUAUUGUUCCACCAAAGUUUGCACAUGCAAACGAAAUGAUUGGCUUCUUAUAGAAGCCAAUCAUUCAAGAAGCGAAGGAGGUCAAUUUUGGAUUACAAAAUGAUCAUUUAGCUUUUCCAUCCCCGGCGAGAAGCAUCCAGCAACCGGAAACCCGGUCUAUUUCGACAAGCUACCUUUUCGGAUCUUCUCGCACGCGUUCGUGAUUGGGUUGUCAAUCGCCGCUACGUCUCUCGUAUUGUUCCUAUCCUUCCUCGUCGCGCCUUACAAGGAGCAGCAGUUCCGCCGUGCCAUCCCAGUCAAGUACUUCUUCGCCUGCUUGUCAUUUGGGAUCGCGCUGCCGGCUUUUCUGGUGGCAUUCACCUGCAACAUCUACUUGCAAAUCUAUGGCGGACAGAGAUCGGAGUCGAAGGACUUGAUUAUACUCCUACUGGAGCUCAUCGUCUUCCCUUUCGUGUGCACCUAUUUUUUUCCGUCUUUCGGUUCUUUCUGGCGUUGACUCAGUUUUUGUCUCUAUGCUGUGAGGUGUGAGCUUUGACAGUCGAUGGAUGUCUGGUGUUGUUUUUAUAUGCCAUAUGCACUAUUUAAAUGGUUUAUUUUCGUAGUGAUUUUGCUUUAAGAUUCUUUUGAUUGUGGAUCAUGUUUGACUCAGCUUAUAGUUAUUCUCUCUUUCCUUACAAUUGAUUUCGAGGUGAUUGGGUACUUAUUUAUUUAAGAUGCAUUUUAUUUUCUUUUCCAUGAAUGUUGUUGGAUCCUCGUAUCAACCACAUAGUAUUGGUAGGUCACAUAAUUCUGAUCAUUUUUCUCGACUUUUCUGAUUUGUGUGUUCUCUCCUCUAAGAUACUCAUGAUAAAAUAUUUUUUUUAAAAAAAUAUAUUUUCUCCUCUGAUAAGAAUUCAUUAGAAAAAUUAAAUAAGUAAAAUCUUUUGGCUGAGGCUGUGCUACUUUUUUAUAUACUAAUCAUACGAUAAUAAGACGUCGAGAUCUAUAAACUAUGUAACAACUAUACUUACCAUUGUGAUAUCUCAACAUACAUAAUUUUAAAUCAAAAUUAUAAAAAAAUUAUAGAAUAUAGAGGAAGAUAUCGUCGAAAGUUAAGUAUAUGCUCGAGCGAUUUAUUAUAAUUUUUAACAUCACGACAGUCAAACAUCUAAUAUUUCUUGAAAAAAUUAAAAUAAUUAUUAUAUUAAAUAAUAUAUAUGUGAACUUAAACUUGAGAGUUAUUACUUAUGUAAUAAUGUGUUAAUCAAUCAAGCGUUUGAAACUUGUAUUAUUACUCGAUCCUGUUAAUCAAAGUUGAAGUUGGAUGAAAAUUAGGAGGACGUCUAUUAUUAGCAACCUUAAAUCAGCUAAAGUGCGCACGACAAAGCGAAGCUUUAAUUAACUGUAAUUCUUUUUUUUUUUGUUCUUUUUCAAAGUGAACUACAAUUCUUUUCUUUUUCAAAGGGGGAGGGAAAAUUAUUGAGAUGCGUAUUCUUCACGCAAACAUGAAUCAUCCUAAAAGGAAGGGAAAGAACAAAAGAAAAAGGAAAAGAUAGCAAUGAAAAUGAUUAACGCAAGCAUGCAUGUCUGUUCUUCAUUCUCUCACACACCGUCUCUGUCUUCAAAUCGAGAUUGUACGUCCAUGUCCUCCAUCUUUAAGCAGCAGCCACACCAUUCCUUUGUGGGGAUGGAAGACGACAAGAUUUGUCCCAGGUUUAAAGUUGUGCAACACAGUUCAUCCACGAUCUAGAAAACUUGAUGCGAAUAAAUGAAUGAAGGAGAUGUAUUACUGGGUUGACAAAAUUAAACUCGAAGAUCUGGUGGGUGAUCGAUUAAUUCAGUGUUUUUGGCUGCAGGCAAUGGGCAUUAAUGGUUAUGAUUGUUAUUGUUUUAUUUCCUUAAACCAGAAGAGGUGGGUCAGUGGCUCUCUGUUGCCACUUUUGAGGUAGGAAGGUACUCAAUUGCAGUGCAAUCCCACGCUAGCCCACAAGAAGAGGCAAAGCUAAUCAACCGAGAUUUGAGGAACGAUGGCUUCAUCUCCUGCCCAUCAUCAAUAUAAAGGGAGGCCUCCAGCAGCAACAGCAGAAGGAGGUGGAGGUGGAGGCGUGCAUACGGUCAUCCAGUGGCGCUAUGGGAACUCCCAACGGCUUGACCUCUUCUGUGUUUCCGGAAAGUGGGAACGAGCCCUCUUUGGAUUAUAUUGAUGAGAGAAGAAAAGAGACGAAGGAACCCCCGCACAAGCUCGACCAGCGGUACUUCCGCAUGGUGAAGUCUCACAUUCGUCAUGGAAGGAACGACAAACUCUUGGAUCUGGUCAAAAGUAAUCCCGAUCGCAGAGUGAACCUCAUGGAAGACACUUUGCUCCACAUCGUCAUCGCUUGUGGGAAGACCGACCUCGCCAAAAGUCUCAUCGGGCAGAUGGGGGCGGUUCACCUCAAGGCCAAAAGUUGGAACGGCGACACACCUCUUCACGUCGCUGCCGCCGUGGGUGACUGCGAGGUGGCCACUGAGCUGGUCCGCAACAACAAAGAAAUCAUCAGGGAGCGGAACUUGAAGCUGGAGACGCCGCUGCACAAAGCGGCGCUGUACGGGCAGCGGGACAUGUUCUGGUGCAUCAUUGAGGAGGACAACGACUGCUUCAAGGACCGGAGGGAGGAUGGAGCCACCGUGCUGCAUUGUGCCAUCAUGGGUAAUGCGCCGUGUAAGUUCAACACCAAUAACCCACAGAAUACUUGGCGUGACUCUAUCGACUUAGCUUCUCAUCAAAAUUUAGCUUCAUGUAGCGCUUGCAUUGGAAAUUGCAAGGCAAUAUCCAGAGCUGAUCACGUCACGGAAUGCUGAUGCGGUGGCGCCGUUGCAGCUAAUGGUGACCAUUCCCGGGUUAUUCCGAAGUCAGAUGGCGCUUGGCUCCCUUGAAUCCUUUCUCUUCAGAUGUAAGAGCUAUCCCUCCUCUUCAAUUUUCAUGCUCUUUUCCUUUCGCCACUCUGUUUUCUUUUUCGUUUUUUGGUUUUGACGGCAUAUUCCAGUGAUUCCUUUGGAAGAGGACUCUCCCAAGGCUCGUGAUGGAGACGAAGAAGCACCUAAAAGCACGGAUGUAUGUGUUUCUGAAUGAAUGAUUUGACUUCACAUGAUAGAUUGAAGUUAUGAGUAAUGCUAUUCUGACUUUGGUGCACACAUGUAUGUAAUCUCAAGCGAGCGAACGUCACAGAAGAAAUAGAAGAAGAUGACUAUGAAGAUUUGGAGAGGCCGAGAAGAAUUCGUUCAAAAUUCCCAUCUCAAUACAGACCUCUCUUCGACCUAUUGGAAUUGAUGUACAUUCCAGGUACCACUCAUUUCUCACGGUUCUGGAUCCAUUAUUGUAAUUGGAUUACACUGAUUUAUGCUUUUUAUCUAUAUAUGCAGCCAGAUGGAUUCAACUGCUUCUUUUCAACAUUUUAAUGCAACGUGAGUGACCGUUCCCAAAGAUCGACUUGACUGCAGCAUUGAUUUGUUGGCCUCUUCUGAUGUUAUUGUGAUUGCAAUGCAAUGCAUUAUGCAGUAUCCCCAAGAAUCCGACGUCUGGAGGAGAUAAAGAGAACCCACAGAGCAGCUUUGCAACUUAUCGAGUAUUUAGUCCACAAAGAAGAAUACGUGGAUUUCUUCAGCCAGGGAACCGAUGGGGUGGCUAUAGAAGGUUUUGAACACCCAGCAGAAGCCACUGGCGAACGACACCGAGAAAGAGGAGGGCGACGAGAUCAGCUGGUCAUUGCGUUUGCGGAAAAGUUUUUCAGAUUCGCGUCGCACGGCGAUGACAGAGUCACAGAAGAGGAGCUGCGUAAGUGCAUGCAGGACGCCAUAGGGGCACUGUCGCCUGAGUCUGCUAGAUGGAACGAACCACCAUUGAUCUUGGGAGCCCAAAUGGGCCUUCCCGAGUACGUCAGGACGAUCUUAAAGGUGUCUCCACAGGCUGCGACCUACUUGGACACCAAAGGGAGAAGCGUUCUCCAGGUGGCGAUCGAGCAUGGUAACCUGGAGAUCGUAGAAACCAUACGCGAGAUGACCGAGGGGCACAAUCCCAUUCUGCCGUCCUGGCUACUGUCCUGCGUCGAUGGAACCACCGGAGGAACCAUCCUGCAUUUUGCCUCGGCGAAAGGCCCUGAUAAUUACCAAGACGCGAUGCAAAUGCAAGAUGAACUAAGAUGGUUUGAGGUCCAGUUGCUAACUUCAUUAACCUUGCUUUGAUUCAUCUAUCGAAAACCUCUUCUGUUUUUGACUGGCACUUGGUUGCAGACGGUGAGACACAUGGUUCCUAAAGAACUAGUGAACUAUCAAAACGAGAGACAGAAGACAGCACAGGAGAUAUUUACGGAAAGUCACCAAGAUAUGCUCAAGAACUGCAAGGAUCAACUAAUGGAGAUGGGCAAGACAUGUUCGAGCCUUGUGGCGGCCGUGGUCUUUGCGUCGAGCUUCUCCAUCCCCGGCGAGAAGGAUCCAGCAACCGGAAACCCAGUCUACUUCAACAGACUGCCUUUUAAGAUCUUCUCACACGCGUACGUGAUUGGGCUGUCAAGCGCCGCUACGUCUCUGGUGUUGUUCUUAUCCCUCGUCAUAUCGCCUUACAAACAGCAGCAGUUCCGCCGUGCCAUCCCGGCCAAAUACUUCUUUGCCUGCUUAUCAUUUGGGGUGGCGCUGAUGGCUUUCCUGGUGUCGUUCACCUGCAACAUCUUUCUGCAAAUCUAUGGCGGGCAGAGAUCUGAGAGGAAGGACUUGAUUCCGCUCUUGCUCGAGCUCAUGGUCUUUCCAUUCGUCUGUGUUAUCGUGUUGCUCUAUCGUGGCUCGAGUUUUGGUCCAUCUUUUGCUCGCCUUUGGCGUUGAGUCAGUAGUUAUUGCGAUCAUUGUCCACACCUUCCAAUCUGCAGCAUGAUGUCGGGACAGUACGUGAUGUGUUGAAUUCCGUAACUUUUAUCAACGAUAAGAAUGAUUUUGAUAAAUUGUUAAUUGGAUUUCUUUAUACCACCCAAAAAGGUUUCUUUUCAGAUGCAUAAUAUAUAAAUGUUGACUACUUGAGAUGAAGAUUUAUGAAAUAAAUAGCGAAGGUCGCAAGAUGUCAUGCUAAAUAAGUUGUUUUUAAAAUUUGAAUGGAUAGAUAUUAAUAAAAGAAGUAACCCUUUCAAACAGUAUAAUAUAAUUUUAUAAUUUAUAAUCGUUGAAAGACCAGAAAAAAGAAGAAGCUAUAAAAGAAGAUGAUGAUAAAAAGAGAAUUUAUGUUUGUUCGAUAUGCUACCAUCACUUAUUAUCGUCUGUGAUGAGGAGAAGAAGGGACGAAGGAAAUAUAUUUACGUCUAUUCGUAGAUAGAUUUUUUAAAAAAUUUUAAAAUAAGAUGAUAAAUAUAAAAAAGAAAAUGGCAGGUUUGGGAAGAAAUUUAAAGUAGCUUAAAUUGAGACGGCUGUUCUUUAUGUAAGCUUGACAAACACGAGUGAAAGACAAAGUGAAGUGUGUGCAGUUGUCCUUUUUCUUUUACGAUUUAUUCAAAGACUGCAGCUUAAUUUAACAAAAGCCAUCGCAUUUGCCUAAUUUUGCUUUUGUAUAGGGAACGAAAGAACAAAGACACGUUGGGGAGAAUCGGCUUUUUGUACUUUAAUACCGUCGGAAGAGUUACCUAACAUAGCGAUCUAUGAAAGCUCGAGUAGAGAAUCUGAAGCUAUUACCCAAUGAGAAGCAAAGCUACUCGAUCAACUGGGAAUGAGGAAGGUGGCGUCUGUCGGUCGAUGGGGACCAACUUCAUCACCUCGUCUCCUCCUCCCCUUGGCCAUUAUAUAUUUAGUGGUUGGUGAGAACGUAGCGAAAGGAGCGGCUCCCUUCGACGUGUUACGGAUAUGGCGGCUCCUUCCAGCACCCAAAAGCCGACGCUUGCUACUGAUGCAGGCACCGGAUCAGGGACAAAAGGAGAGAAACAGCCGUCUGGCUCCGGGAAAGGCGCAGGUGAUGGUGGAUCAGAGGAACCACCGCAUGUCCUGGACGUGGCACGCUUCCAACGACUGAACUCGCUCAUCCACCGUGAGAACGUGGACGUGAACGAACUCCUGCGUCUAGUGGAGCAGAAUAACCACGUGAACCUCAUGAACGACCCGCUGCUCAGCGUCGUCAUCGCCUGCAAGAAGUCCAAGCUCGCCGUCCGCCUAAUCGCCAAAAUAUCAUCAAAUGACAUUCUCGAGGCCUACAACUACAACGGCGACACGGCGCUUCACGUGGCUGCAGCCAUGGACGACAAAGAAGUGGCCUCGGAGCUGAUCCGCAGGGUGCCAGUUCUCGUUCGUGUGCGGAACGGGAAGCAGGAGAUACCGCUACAUAAGGCGGCCCUGUACGGGCAGAAGGACAUGUUCUGGUUGCUGGUGGAAAAGAACAGCUCACCGGAAGCCCGGAGGGAGGACGGCGCCACCAUGCUUCACUGUGCCAUCAUGGGCAAUGCGCCAGGUAACUAUCGCUACAUCCUCUUUCCCUUGUACAUGGUUCAACUUCAAUUAGCAUCUCGGUACGCCUGCAGUACUCGCCAUGGAGAUUGCAAAGACUUAUCCAAUUCAGGUUGAAUCCCGGAAUGAGCGCGCCCUCACUCCGCUGCAGCUGUUGGUGACUAUUCCUGAGGCAUUCCGAAGCCAAGUAGUUCUUGGGGCCCUCGACUCCUUCGUCUACGAAUGUGAGUGCUACCCUCCUCUUCUCCUUUUUCUCUACAUACAGCAAUAAUUCUCAUCUACGAUGAGGCUAAAAAAUCAAUUAAAAUGUGCAUAAGUAUAUUCGUAGAGCUCUUUGGUUUUACAUUUCAGGGAUUCCUUUGGAAGAGGACUCGAGUAAAAUGAACAAAAGGGAUGAAGAGGUGGCACUCGACAGAUCUGUAUGUGGCUUAUGCAUGAAUGACUUUUUACAUGACACUGCUUCGAAUCAUGAGUACAUCGGUUACGUUUAGCUCUCUGAUUCGGUUCUCUCUGUGGCAUGCACAUGUAAUCUCAAGCGCAUUGGAGUAGCACAAGACGAUGACGGUGACCACUCGCCUAAGACUUUUCGCUCAAAAUUCCCAUCAAACUACAGCACGCUCUUUGACCUGUUGGAGUUGACCAGCAUCCCAGGUGCUCGUUCUAGCUUCUCUACUUGCCAAUAAUAUCCAUCGUAAAGUGAAAGGCCCUUAAUCUAUCAUGUUAUGGUUAUUAAAGGUAGGAUAACAUUGAUUUAUGCAUGCAUUUUGUCCUGCAGCUGGCUGGAUUCAGCGAUUUGCUUAUAACAUUAUAUGGCAAUGUGAGUUAACAGUUCUUACACCUAUACUUUUCUUAGCAAAUGAUGUAUGUCUUACAAAAAUUUAAAAUACUUUAUGGUAGGUUUUUACGGUACAUGAUUAAUGCUAACUGAAAUGCAUGGGUGCAGUGUCCCCGAGAGUCCAACGUUUGGAGAGGAAGAAGAAGAACCAUACAGAAACUAUGCGCCUCAUCGAAUACUUAGCCAAAGAAGGAUACUUCGAGUUCUUUGUGCGUGGAAAAGAUCCCACCCAAGUUACAACAAUUACUUCAGAAGCGCUUGACGACCAAUUUGAUAAGCAUGGUCCACCGGAGUCUGUAAAAGAAGGUGAUGCCCAAAAAAAGGACGCGGAAGCCCCAGCUGCAGUGAAAGAGCUCAUUAAGGGGAUGACCGAUAAGCUCUACAAAUUAUUGUCGAAGGAAUCGGAAACACCGGUCUCAAUUGCAAUCAAAGAGGCGGCUCAGAGUGUGGAGAAAGUGUUCAAGGCACUGUCACCUAGCUCGGAAGAGAGAUGGAACGUGCCACCCUUGAUCUUAGGUGCACAAAUGGGCCUUCAUGAUUUCGUCGGAAAGAUCCUGGAAGUGUGCCCACAGUCAGCAACCUACCUGGACACGAAGGGCAGAAAUGUUCUCCAAGUGGCGAUAGAAUCUGGGAACCGAGAGACUGUAGAAACUAUCCGUAAGAUGACCCAGGGAGACAACCCCAUUUUACCAUCCUGGUUGUUGUCCAGAAUCGACUCUAAAACCAGAAACACCAUCCUGCAUUUUGCUUCUGAGACGAUCGGUGAUACCGGAGACGAUGCAGUCCAAAUGCAAGAUGAGAUCCGAUGGUUUGAGGUCACGUACUCCCAGUGUUCGAUCAUAUGUCUCAUAAGAGAAAUAUCUGUCAUUGUAAAAUUCCAUGUGAUCAUUAAUUAAUCGUAUGCAUGCAGAUGGUGAAAGAGAUGGUGCCUAGGGAGCUCGUGUACAGUCGAAACGCGGACGAGAAGACAGCGCGGGAGAUCUUUACCGAGAGUCACAAAGAGAUGUUUAAGGACUGCAAGAAUCGGCUAAUGGAGAUGGGCAAGACAUGUUCAGGCCUCGUAGCGGCGGUGGUUUUCGCGUCCAGCUUCUCCAUCCCGGGCGAGAAGAAUUCCAAAACCGGCAACCCUGAGUACUUCAACAGGUUACCCUUUAAGGUGUUCACGCAUGCGUACGUGAUCGGGUUGUCGUGCGCCGCCACGUCUCUGGUGUUGUUCUUGUCCCUCGUCAUCUCGCCUUACAAGGAGCAGCAGUUCCGCCGUGCCAUCCCCACCAAGUACUUCUUCGCUUGCUUCUCGUUUGGGUUGGCGCUGACGGCUUUGCUGCUGGCCUUCACAUGCAACAUCUUCCUACAGAUAUAUGGCGGGCAGAAAACACUCACGAAGGACAUCCUUCAACUGGUACUGGAGCUUACCGUCUUCCCCACUGUCUGCUUGGUUGUGCUCCUCUACCGUGGUGCCAAUUUUGGUCCGUCUUUUUUCCGUCGUAUUUGGUGUUGAGUCAAUAAGCGUUAAUGUCAGGCAUACUUCCUCGGCUUCGUGGUCUGUGCCAGUAGAACUCUUGCGUGUGUUUGUGUGUGGUAUUAAAUUCUGAUAAUUCCUGAAUUGUACUCGCAUUUAUUUCGAGACUACUAUGAAUUGGACGUAUUUUGACUUUUUUGAUUUGAAAUUUGACUAUGCUAAACAUCUUGUGCUCUCGUUUGCAAUCAUAAAAAAUCAUAACAUUUGUGCUGCUGUUCAUCAUCCAUCAUAAACAAAAAAACAAAAAAAACAAAAGAAACUCAAAUGCCAAUAAUAGAAAAGAAGAAGAAGAACAAACAGAGCAAUGGGAAGAGUUCUGUUUUCUUUCUUAUGUGUUGCAUGCAAUUGACAACUGCAGUCCUUGGGUUCUUCUAAAUGGGACUGUACUAAUCUCAGAUCAACCUAUUACGAACAAAUCUCAUCUUGAGCAUCAUAGAAGAGCAAAAGGUCAAACUAAAUGAGUAAAUCCCUCGCCAGAAACCUAUCUGUCGUGACAACUCUACCUUAAGAAACUAAGUUCUUUGUUAUUACUAUAAUUGAGACGGCAAACGAUUCAACGGUUGUUUCGUCAUCGACAUUUACUAUUUUCUUGUUUUCUUUUGGAUCGUUUUCAUGUCAUUGUCAAUAUUAAUGGUAGUGAGAAAUGUUUGGUAGCCUUUCUCUUUCCAACCGUGACAUUUAUCUUCCAAUAUUCAUCAUCAUGUCAUCAUUUCCCUUUCGGCGAGUCAUCUUAUUGUCACUAGACGUGAGACUAAAUCAUAUCUGAAUAAUAAAUUCUUUUGGCUCGCCAUUAAAGAAAUAGACACCUAAAGACACCCACUCGAGGAUAACGUGAUUUGGUGCUACAACAAUUGCAUGUUGCUGUUGACAACGUCGAGAGCAGAAGAUUAAACAAAGAGACGGAAAAAAAGAUGUUGCCGUAAUCCGGGUGGACAACAAGAAUCGGAGACUCACCAAUGGGUUCUCAACUCCGUAGACUUGCUAUGAAUAUGAUCUACAAAAACCAAGGGGGAAGGAAGUGUACGACGAUGGAUGAGAGCCAAAAGGAUCAGCUAGUCUGCUUGUUAAGGCAGGCCUUCAGGUUGCUUUAGUUUCGCAGUGGAAAUCAGGAGGCGAAGGCGUACGAACGAGUUGUGCCCACCAUUUAUGGGGGAUCCCUCUCUUGCCCAUACGGAUUCCAUUCAGGACGGCACGGAGGAUGCUGAUCCACCGCACGAGCUCAACAGGAAACAUUUUCUCACGGUGAAGUCUCACAUCCGUCAGAAGAAGCACAAGGAACUCUUGGCUCUAGCCGAAGAAGAUCCUGGUCGCCCUGUGAACCUCAUGAACGACACUUUGCUCCACGUCGUCAUAGCUUGCAACAAGGCGGACCUCGCCAAAAGUAUUAUCUUGCAGAUGCCAGUGGAGACCCUCGCGGCCAAGAAUUUGUACGGCGACACGGCUCUUCAUGUCACUGCCGCCGUGGGUAACAGCGAGGUGGCCAAGGAGCUGUUCGACACAAGAGAAGAUCUCAUCGGAGAACAGAACCUGAAGCAGGAGACACCACUUCACAAAGCGGCGUUCUACGGGCAUCAUGACAUGUUCUGGUGCCUGGUGGACGAGGGGAAGGGCUCCCCGCACGAGCGGAGGGAGGACGGCGCCACCAUGCUGCACUGCGCCAUCAUGGGCAACGAGCCGGGUUAGCCAUCAUCACUGGUUUGGUUGGUCUGGCUCAGGCCAGCUGGUUUUAUCUUGUUUCUAUCUUAUUUAUUUAAAGUGUUAUAUGUGGAUCAUACUGCUUCCGCAUCUUUGUUGUGAUGAAGGUGAGUAAGUUGACGCAGGGCUAGCACUGGAGAUUGCAGAGCGUUUUCCAUUGCUGAUCACGUCGAGGAAUACUAUGGCGGUAACCCCGUUGCAGCUGAUGGUGACCGUUCCGGGGUUAUUCCGAAGCCAAAUGGUACUGGGCUGCUUCGAGUCCAUCCUCUAUGGCUGUAAGUGCUGCCAGCCUCUUCCUUCAACUUCCCCAGCGCCUCCCCCUCCCACACCCCACCCCCACCACCCCCCUUGAUUUUUCGGAUUUAUUAUAUGGUUUUGUCUGAUUUGAUCUCUGUUCUUUAUUCUUUCACUUGUCUCCUGCUUCUUCCCUCAAUUCGCCCUUUUGUCGUCACCCUUUCGUCCCUGUUCUUUCUUCUUCGAGGAGGAGACGAGAAGGAGGAGGAGAGCAAGCGACACAAGGUUGACCAGUUCACUCAUCCAAACUGGCUUAGUGAAUCAUUUCAACAAAUUUGAAACGAAAUUAAUUAGAAUAGGAGGAUAAAAUAGAGGGGCGUGAUAGAAAUCAAUUACUAAUUAUUUUUUAGGUGAAUUACUUUUUGUAUAUAUAUAUAUAUAUAUAUAUAUAUAUAUAUAUAUAUAUAUAUAUAUAUAUAUAUAUUACAAUCCGAUCUAAAAAGAUAAUUGACUUAUUAACUUCAUUAAACUUGGACCAUUGAUCUGAAUAGUUAAGCUCAAAUUAAUAAUAAUACACUCAUCAAAUCCCUAUAAAUUAAUUUUAGAAUUUAUCUAUUUUUUUAUUUUCGAUGUGAAGUAAAAUUAUAAUUGUCCUAAGAAAAAUAUACUUACGAUGAAACUUAAACAUCAAGCGUUUUGAUACCAGCAGUGUACAUGCUCCUAAAAUUUUGAUCUUACAUUUCAGUUAUUCCUUUGGAGAAGGACUCACACAGGACACGUCAAAGAGAUGAAGAGGAGGCAAGUGGAAGCUCCAACGAUGCCGGUGUAUGUGAUUCAAAUCAUCAACAUCUUUUCCAUCACAAUAUCAAUAGUCCACUAUUGUCUCUCUCAUUUGUUUCUCACUUUGGCGUUUACAUAUAUAUAAUCUCAAGCAAGCUGAAGCCACAGAGCAAGAUGACCACGAAUAUUUCGGGAGGCAGAGAACAAUUCGUUCGAGAUUUCCAUCUUGCUGCUGUACUCUCGUUGACAGAUUAGUCAUCCCAGGCACUCCUACUAGCUUCUCUGUCUACAAUUUUUGUAGUCAUCCAUGUUCUGUUUCACUACGCUGAUGUUUUCCUUUUUGUCCUUGCAGUCAAAUGGGUUCAUCUGUUUCUUUUCAUCAUUUUAAAGACUUGUGAGUAAUUGUUCCCAAACAGUGCAUUGAUGAUAUUUAGAGUCAUGUCCUACUGUUUCAUUACGAGUUUUAGCAAAUUAGGAUAGUACUAUAGAAAAGGCUUCUUGUAAUUUAGUUCUCCAAAACCAAGUAGUUUACAUGAUGGAUAAUCAUAGCUAAUUUUCGGAAAAUCAUAAAUGGGAUGAUCAUGUCGCUGACUUCUUCUGAUGUUAAUUUGGAAAUGCAAUGCGUUAUGCAGUGUACCCUCGAACCCGACAUCUGGAGAAGAUUAAGAGAACCCAUAGAAAAGCCUUGGAACUCAUCGAAUUUUUAGCCCGCGACCCGAGAAACAUGGAGUUCUACGUGCUGGGAAGAAAACAAGGUGACGGCGGAGCUCCUGCGGCAGGCUUUCGAGAAAGAGGUGAGGGACAAGAUCAACUUAACACACCAGCUGCGUCUACCAGAAGAUGGAACGAGCCACCCUUGAUCUUGGGUGCACAAAUGGGCAUUCCCGAGUUCGUCAGUACCAUCUUACGAGUGUGUCCGGAGGCAGCUACCUACCUGGACACCCGUGGCCGAAGCGUUCUCCAAGUAGCAAUAGAGCAUGGUAACCGAGAGAUUGUGAGAACUAUACGUGAGAUGAUUCGGGGGAAGAAUCCCAUACUACCAUCCUGGCUACUGUCCCGCGUCGACAAAAGGACCGGAAGAACCAUCCUGCACUUGGCUUCGGCAACUGCCCCCGAGCAUAACCAAGAUGCUCUACAAAUGCAAGAUGAAUUAAGAUGGUUUGAGGUCAAGUCCCUGACUUCAUUAACUACAAAUAAAUCAUUAUAUUCUCAGAGUUGCCUGCUAAAUUUGAUCGUUUUCUGACAUUUGAAUGCAGACGGUGAGAGAUAUGGUUCCUAAGGAAUUAGUGUACAGUCGGAACGCGCAAGAGAUGACCGCAGAAGAGAUGUUUACUGAGAGUCACCGGGAGAUGCUCAAGAGUUGCAAGGGUCAACUAAUGGAAACGGGCAGGACGUGUUCAGGGCUUGUCGCUGCUGUAGUGUUCGCGUCGAGCUUCUCCAUCCCCGGCGAUAAGGACCCAGCGACCGGCAACCCGGUUUACUUCGGUAGGGCAGCUUUUACGGUCUUCUCACAUUUUUACGUGAUUGGGUUGUCAUGCGCCGCCACAUCUCUGGUGUUGUUCUUAUCCCUCGCCAUGUCACCGUACAAGGAGCAGCAGUUCCGUCGUAUCAUCCCAACCAAAUACUUCUUUGCCCGCUCGUCGUUUGCGAUGGCGAUGCUGUCUUUUCUGGUGGCGUUCACCUGCAACAUCUACCUACAGAUAUAUGGCUGGCAGAAGGCGAAGUCGAAGGACUUGAUUCCAUUCGUAUUGGAGCUCACCGUCUUCCCCGUCAUCUGUUCCCUGGUGUUGUUCUUUCGUGGCUCCGAUUUCGGUCUAUCUUUCCUUGUUCGUCUUUGGGGUUGAGUCAACAAGCAUGAUCGUCCACAUCUUUGGAAUCUGCAGCUUCAUGAUGCACGUGGGUUCUACCUAUUGCGGGUAUGCCACCUGUUCUAGUGGUGUGUGGUGGUGGUAGUCAUUGGACAGUUAAUAACUUGUGUGUACAAGCAGCGACAAAGGCUUGUGAUGUAUGGACGCUAGUUGAUUGCAACUUUAAUGUGUUCUUUUCUUCUAUCUUAAAUUAGAUGAUGAUAUAGGCGCAGCGGUAGACAACAGAUCCGAUCACCAAUAAUGGUGAUGUCCCUCUCUAUUGUUUUUGACGAAGUCAAUAUGACAUAACUGUUGACCGGAUCUUACCCUGUAUUGUCAUGUAAAUGUCACAUGUCGAGUGACAGAUUUCCCCUAUCGUAUGGACGUCCUUUGGUUUUCCCAGAGGUCGGCUAGAACAUAGGCUCGAGUCUUUUUGAAUAUUCUGUGACAAAUCACAUAGUCCAUAUCGUAAAGUUUUGGCCCACCAAAGUUUGCACAGGCAAACGAAAUGAUUGGCUUAUAGAAGCCAAUCAUUCAAUAAGUGAAGGACAUCAAUUUUGGAUUAAAAAAAUAUCAACAAAAUACAAAUCACCUUUAUAGAAAGGAAAGAAAACUCUCCGUGGAGAGCUUUAUUGCACUCCUUCCCAUCCAUCAUCUAUGGAGUCAAAUAAGAAAGAUUCAAGAGAAGAUAGGAAUGGUCCGAGUGAAGAAGACAAACUAACGAGCAGCAAUGCUCGUCUAUUCCAAAGACCUGCCACGAGAAUAAUACAGCGAGAAAAAAAGAAAGAAAAGGAAGAAGCUUAUUUAUGAGGUGCGAAAGGUGAUGGACAUCCGAUUCACGCCGUUGCAGCUGAUGGUUACCAUCCUCUUCCGAAGCCAACUUGUGCUCGGCUCCUUUGAUUCCUUGCUCGCCCUUUCCCAAUUACUUUUUACAUAAAAUUAAUAUAUUUUAUGUAAAAAUAUAUUAAAUUUUAUAAAAUAUAUUCUAAAUUAUUCAAAAUAUAUUAUUACACUCUCAUUCAAAGAACGUGUUAAAAAAAAUAUUUUUUUUUAUAAAAUUAUCCUAAAUUCAUCAUAAAACUAAUCAUAAAAUUCUACAUCUCUUAUUUUCUAUUUCUUAUAUUGACUUAGUUAUGUUCAAAAUUAAAAUAAAUUAAAUUCGAUUACCUAACCUAUUUUAAUAUUAAUAUUUUUUUUACUUUUAGAUAUAUCUAGAAUAAUUAAUUAUCAAAACUUUGAGAAUUCUACUAUAAUUUGAUUCUAACAAAAUUAUAAUAAAUUUAUAUAAAAAUUAAUAUAUCUUAGUAAAUUCGAGUGUAACUUGGAUGUAAGAGAUUUGGCUUAACUUGAUUCUACUGGAUUCGAAGGGAUCCGACCCAAAUCGAUCUAAUUCAGAUCGAAUCAACCUGCUAAUCAGUCAGGUUUAAAAUAGUCUAUUUCAAAAGUAUUAUCAAAAUUUUUAAAGAAAAUCACCUUUUGUAUGAGCUUUUAUCUUUAUACAUACAAAGUAUCCUAUUAAACAUGAGGUAUUACAAAAAAAAAAAAAAAAUCCCUCUCCAAAGACCUCCUGUCAUGUCAACUCUAGUAAAAUCCCUAUUAACUAGAGAAAGAAGUUCUUCGUUUAUACUAUAGUCGAGACUGCAACCGAUUCAUUGUUAUUUACUCAUUUUCUUUUGGUUCGUUUUCAUGUCAGUGUCAAGCUAUAUGAUAGGUAAACAAGUGUUUGGUACCCUGUCUCCGUUCCACCAUGCGCUGACGUUAUCAGAUUCCCUUUCGCUGAUCUAUAUAUCUUAUUGUCAGAAGACGUGAGACUGAAAGUGAUAUGUUGGAGGAAAGUAUUGAUUAUAUUUCUAUUUAUUAUUGGUUGACCGAUGGAGAUGGUUACUUUACUUGGGAUGUCAUGUUGAGGUAAUUAAAUCAUGCCAACGCAGAUUCGAAUAAUAAAAUUCCUUUAGCUUGUCAUUAAGCAAAAGACACCCACUCGAAGAUAACGUGAUUUGGAGCUACAAAUGAUAACACUGAGAGCAAAAGAUUCAAUAAAGAGAUGUUGCCAUAAUCCCGGGUGCAUAAAAAGAAUCGGAGACCAACCAAAGGGUCAUCAACUCCAAAGACUUGCGAUGAGUAUGAUCUACAAAACCUUUUCUAUAAGGUGCAAGUUGAAUGAUCGGUGGAGACCCACAAGUAGAGGUUUGGGUGCAAGCUUCCGGAUUAUUGUUUCCUGUAGAGCAAGAAUCGUUGACCCACAAGUUAAAGCUACUGUCUAGCUUUAACGUAUGUGAAUUAUUCAUUAGUAGGUUGGCCUCUGUAACAUACGAUUAAUUUGUUGUCGAAUCUUUUGUGACUGAGAUGAAAACGGAGACCAACCAAUGGGUUCUCAACUCCGAAGACUUGCGAUGAGUAUGACCUACAAAAACCAAGGGGGAAGGAGGUGUACGACGAUGGAUGAGAGCCAAAAGGAUCAGCUAGUCUGCUUGUUAAGGCAGGCAUUCAGGUUGCUUUAGUUUCGCAGUAGAAAUCUGGAGGCGAAGGCGUACGCACCAUAUAGCAACUGCAUGCUAUGGGGGAUCCCGCCGCUCUUGCCAAUACGGAUUCCAUUCACGACGGCACAGAGGAUGCUGAUCCACUGCAUGUUCUCAACAGGAGACAUUUUCUCACGGUGAAGUCUCAUUUCCGUCGGAAGAGGCACGAGGCACUCUUGGUUCUAGCCGUGGAAGAUCCUGGUCGCCCGGUGAACCUCAUGAACGACACUUUGCUCCACGUCGUCAUAGCUUGCAACAAGACCGACCUCGCCAGAAGUAUUAUCUUGCAGAUGCCAGUGGAGACCCUCGCGGCCAAGAAUUUGUACGGCGACACGGCUCUUCAUGUCGCUGCCGCCAUGGGUAACAGCGAGGUGGCCAGGGAGCUGUUCGGCAGGAACGAAGAUCUCAUCGAAGAACAGAACUUGAAGCAGGAGACACCACUGCACAAAGCGGCGUUCUACGGGCAUCAUGACAUGUUCUGGUGCCUGGUUAACGAGGGGAAUGGCUCCCCGUACGAGCGGAGGGAGGACGGCGCCACCAUGCUGCACUGUGCCAUCAUGGGCAACGAGCCGGGUAAGCGGUCAUCACCAGUUUCGUUGGCCAGCUGCCUUUAUCUUGUUUUUAUCCUAUUUAUUUGAAUUUUUAUAUGUGGAUCAUACUGCUUCCGCAUCUUUGGCGUGAUCAAGGUGAGUGAGUCGAUGCAGGGCUGGCACUGGAGAUUGCAGAGCGUUUUCCAUUGCUGAUCACGUCGAGGAAUACUAUGGCGGUAACCCCAUUGCAGCUGAUGGUGACCGUUCCGGGGUUAUUCCGAAGCCAAAUGGUAAUUGGCGGCUUCGAGUCCAUCCUCCAUGACUGUAAGUGCUGCCCCGCCUCUUCCUUCAACGCCCCCAGCGCCCCGCCCUCCCCCCUGCUUCUCUAUUUAUUGCACUACAUUUCCUACCAACGACUACCUUAAUUUAGCGAUCGUUCGACGUCCAAAUCUAUUGAGAAUUUACCAAGGGGUGUUUUUUUCUCAUUAUCGGAACACAUAUACCCUUGCUUAUUUGGAUUUAUUAUAUGGUUUUGUGUUAAACGCAUCAAAUCUAAUCGGUUGAGUCUGGUUUGCUCUCUGUUCUUUGUUCUUUCACGUCUCCUCCUCCUACCCUCAAUUCACCCUUUGUUUGUCACCCUUUCACCCUUAUUCUUUCUUCUUCAAGGAGGAGGAGCAGAGGAGGAGGAGGAGAGGAAGCGACACAAGGUUGACUGGUUCAUUGAACCGGUUCACUGAUCCAAACUGUUUCAGUGAAUCAUUUCAAAAAGUUCGAAAUGUAAUUAAAUUGGAAUAGGAGGAUAAAGUUAGAAUUUACCAAAAAAACAUUCCUAAAUAAUUUCUGAAUAUAUAUAUAUAUAUAUAUAUAUAUAUAUAUAAUAAUACNNNNNNNNNNNNNNNNNNNNUAUAUAUAUAUAUAUAUAUAUAUAUAUAUAUAUAAAAUCUGAUGUAACGGGAUAAUUGACUUAUUAACUUCACUAAACUUGGAUCAUUGAUCUGAAUAAUUAAGUUUAAAUUAAUAAUAAUACACUUAUCAAAUCUCUAUAAAUUAAUCUUAGUAUUUGUCUAGUUUUAAUUUUCGAUGUGAAGUAAAAUUAUAAUUGUUCUCAGAAAAAUAUAGUUAUGAUGACAAUUAAACAUCAAGUAUUUUGAUACCAACGUACAUGCUCCUAAAAGUUUGAUUUUAUAUUUCAGUAAUUCCUUUGGAGAAGGACUCACACAGGACACGUCAAAGAGAUGAAGAGGAGGCAUCUGAAAGCUCCAACGAUGCCGGUGUAUGUGCUUCAAAUCAUCAACAUCUUUUCCAUCACAAUAUCAAUAGUCCACUAUUGUCUCUCUGAUUUGUUUCUCACUUUGGCGUCUACAUAUAUAUAAUCUCAAGCAAGCUGAAGCCACAGAGCAAGAUGACCACGAAUAUUUCGGGAGGCAGAGAACAAUUCGUUCGAGAUUUCCAUCUUGCUGCUGUACUCUCGUUGACAAAUUAGUCAUCCCAGGCACUCCUACUAGCUUCUCUGUCUACAAUUUUUGUAGUCAUCCAUGUUCUGUUUCAUUACGCUGAUGUAUUCCUUUUUGUGCUUGCAGUCAAAUGGGUUCGUCUGUUUCUUUUCAUCAUUAUAAGGACUUGUGAGUAACUGUUCCCAAACAGUACAUUGAUGAUAUUAAGAGCCAUGUCCUACUGUUUCAUUACGAGUUCUAGCAAAUUAGGAAAGUACUAUAGAAAAGGCUUCUUGUAAUUUAGUUCUCCAAAACCAAGUAGUUUACAUGAUGGAUAAUUAUAGCUUAUUUGCGGAAAAACAUAAAUGGGACGAUUAUGUCGCUGACUUCUUCUGAUGUUAAUUUGGAGAUGCAAUGCGUUAUGCAGUGUACCCUCGAACCCGACAUCUGGAGAAGAUUAAGAGAACCCAUAGAAAAGCCUUGGAACUCAUCGAAUUUUUAGCCCGCGACCCGAGAAACAUGGAGUUCUACGUGCUGGGAAGAAAACAAGGUGACGGCGGUGCUCCUGCGGCAGACCUUCGAGAAAGAGGUGAGGGACAAGAUCAACUUACCGCACCGGCUGAGUCAUACAGAAGAUGGAACGAGCCACCCUUGAUCUUGGGUGCACAAAUGGGCAUUCCCGAGUUCGUCAGGACGAUCUUACAAGUGUGUCCGGAGGCAGCUACGUAUCUGGACACCCAAGGUCGAAGCGUUCUCCAAGUAGCAAUACGGCAUGGUAACCGAGAUAUUGUGAGAACUAUACGUGAGAUGACUCGAGGGAAGAAUCCCAUACUACCAUUCUGGCUACUGUCUCGCGUCGACAAAGGGACCGGAAGAACCAUCCUGCACUUGGCUUCGGCAACUGCCCCCGAGCAUAACCAAGAUGCUCUACAAAUGCAAGAUGAAUUAAGAUGGUUUGAGGUCAAGUCCCUAACUACAUUAACUACAAAUAAAAUCUUUACAUUCUCGGAGUUGCCUACUAAAUUUGAUCGUUUUCUGACAUUUUUAUGCAGACGGUGAGAGAUAUGGUUCCUAAGGAAUUAGUGUACAGUAGAAACGCGGAAGAGACGACCGCAGAAGAGAUGUUUACUGAGAGUCACAAAGAUUUGCUCAAGAGUUGCAAGGUUCAACUAAUGGAAACGGGCAGACUGUGUUCCGGGCUGGUCGCAGCUGUAGUGUUCGCGUCAAGCUUCUCAGUCCCCGGCGAUAAGGACCCAACCACCGGCAACCCGGUUUACUUCGGUAGGGCAGCUUUUACGGUCUUCUCACACACGUACGUGUUUGGGCUUUCAUGCGCCGCGACAUCUCUGGUGUUGUUCUUAUCCCUCGCCAUGUCACCUUACAAGGAACAGCAGUUCCGUCGUAUCAUCCCAAUCAAAUACUUCUUUGCCCGCUCGUCGUUUGGGUUGGCGAUGCUGUCUUUUCUGGUGGCGUUCACCUGCAACAUCUACCUACAGAUAUAUGGCUGGCAGAAGACGAAGUCGAAGGACUUGAUUCCAUUCAUAUUGGAGCUCACCGCCUUCCCUUUCAUCUGUUUCCUGGUGUUAUUCUUUUAUGGCUCCAAGUUCGGUCUAUCUUUUCUUUUUCAUUCUUGGCGUUGAGUCAACAAGCAUGAUCGUCCACACGAAUCUGGCAGGUUCAUGAUGUACGUGGGUUGUACCUAUUACGGUAUGUCGCCUGUUCCAGUGGUAUGCGGUGGUAGAAGUCAUUGGACAGUUAAAUAUCUUGUGUGUACAAGCAGCAACAAAGGCAUGUUAUAUGUGGCCGCUAUUUGAUUGUAACUUUAAUGUGGUCUUUUCUUCUAUCUUAAAUUAGAUAAUGAUAUAGGCGCCACGGUAGACAACAAAUCUGAUCACCAAUAAUGGUGAUGGCCCAUCAAUACUGAAUAAUGGUGAUGGCCCUGCCUAUUGUUUUUGGACUAAUGUCCAUAUGACAUAGCUGUUGAUGGGAUCUUAUCCUCUCACCGUUGACUGUAUUGUCAUGUAAGAUAUGCAUGGACGUCCUUUCGUUUUCCCAGAGAUCGGCUAGAAGAUAGGAUCGAGUCUUAUUGAAUCUUCUGUGACAAUCAAGUAGUCUUUAUCGUACAAUUUUGGCCCACCAAAGUUUGCACAGGCAAACGAAAUGAUUGGCUUAUAGAAGCCGAUCGUUCAAGAAGUGAAGGACGUCAAUUUUGGAUUGAAAAAAGAUCAUUUAGCUUUUCAAAAAAGAAAAAGAAUAACCUUUAUAAAAUGGAUAGAAAACUCUCCGUGGAGGCCUUUACACCGCUCCUUAGCAGCAUCCAUGGACUGGAGUCAAUAAGAAACAUUUAAGAAAAGAUAGAAACAGACGUAUCGUUGUCCAAAGAGUGAAGAAGACAAACUAACCACAAGCAAUGCUCGUCUAUUUUAAUGACCUGUCACAAGUCUAAUACAGCCACAAAACAUUAAAAAAAAGGAAGAAGCUUGUUUAUGAGGUGCCAAAGGUUAUGGACAUCUAUCUGAUUCACGCACGGAAUGGUCACCAUCCCCGAGCACCUCUUUCGAAGCCAAUUGUUUGGUCGGCACCUUUGAUUCCUUUCUCUGUAUCUGUCCAAGUGCUGCUCGCCCUUUCUCAAGUACUUUCUAAUCCUCUAUCCAUCUCUCCAUUUUUAUUUUUCUACUUUUACUGUUAUAAUAAGUUUUUUAAAUUAUUUUUAUUACAUUAAAUUACAUAUAAGACAUCCUUAUAUAAACAUAUCAUUAUAUUGCCACGACUAUAUAGACGCUUAUUCUAUAUACAAACUAGAAAUAGACAAAAGGAUACCAAUAAAAUAAAGAGACACCGCAAUAAGAAUCGGAUUUGGUAAAGUAUUUUCCUCAAACGAGCUUGGAGGAUCGGAUAAGAGUUUUGUAAAGAGACCACUGCUCCUGAAAUGAAAACCAAUCGUCGUGCUUUCAAUUAAUAAAACCAAUCAUGCAUACCGUUUUCUAAAGUGUUCAAUGAGGAGACAACAUAAGUAAUUGUCAGUUCACGCAUAUUACUUACCGUACGCAGAAGGAGGCGUAGGUACGUCGGUCGAUGGUCACUUGAUCUCCUUCCUGGCCAUCAUAUAAAGGGAGGCCUUCAGGUGCUCAUCUAAGACCACCAAGGGUACGUGAAGGUUGAAGACGUAGCCAUGGAUCCUUCGGGAAGCCAUUCGGCCCUCGCAACAGAUAACAGUGAUGACGAGAAUAGACGACCUAGCGUCUUCGACGUGGAUCACUUUUGCACCGUGACGUCUCUGAUUCAGCAGGAGAAGUACGAGGAUCUAUUACCCCUAGCCAUGAAGAAGGAUCCUCCACUCAACCUCAUGGAGGACCCUGUGCUCAACGUCGUCAUCGAAUACAAGAAGACCGACCUCGCCAAACGGCAGAUUCAAAACAUGCCCGCGGAGAAGAAGCCCGCGGAGAAGCCCGGACCGCUGUGGUACGCUAAUUACCACGGCGACACGGCUCUCCAUGUCGCGGCCACCGUGGGUGACCUCGACGUGGCCAAGGCGUUGGUCUGGAAGAACUCAGAACUCAGAACUCGUCAGUGCACGCAACUGGAAGAACGAGACACCGCUGCACAAAGCGGCGCUGUACGGGCACGAGACGAUGUUCUGGGACCUGGUGGAAAUGGGGUCGCACGCCCCGGACGAGCGGAGGGAGGACGGCGCCACCGUGCUGCACUGUGCCAUCAUGGGCAGCGCGCCGGGUGAGUUGUAAUCAAUUCCAGGAAGCCAUAGUCAUAUAUAGCUCCUUUCUUGUUUUCCAAAAAUAUGUUUACAUAGUUGAAUUGUAAUGUAGCUUUAGCACUGAAGAUUGCCAAGACAUAUCCACCGCUGAUCACGUCGCGGAAUGAUGAUGCGGUGACUCCGAUGCAGCUGACGGUGACAAUUCCAGGGUUAUUCCGAAGCCUAACGAAUCUUGGGCCCUUAGAGGCCGUAAUUUAUAAGCGUGAGUCGUAAUGUAAUUUCUAGGAUUUACAUCACCAUAAAACAUUCACAGCAUGUAGUUAUGGUAACUAAGGCUUUGUUACAUCAAAUAAAAGCACACCAAUAUGCAUGCUAGCUCUUGAAACUUCAUGGCUGUAUACUUUGAUUGCAAUGUUGCAGUGAUUCCAUACGAAGACUCCAGCGAGCCACGUGCAGUAGAUGAAGAGACAACCAGGGUCUCGAGCGCUGUUGAAGUAUGUGCUUCCGGAUGAAUCAUUUUGUUUUGCAUGAUGGCAUUGAUAUAGUUCAUGAGGUCGAUAGCAUCUUUUCUACUACUUGUCAAUAAUAUUUAUCACAAAAUUUAAGAGCAGUUUUUUCCUCAAACUAGACAAUAUAAAGUUUGAUCUACCAUGUGUUAGAAAUUUUUGUAAUAUCAGUCGAAGUCAUUCUGGUUAGGGUUAACGAAUUACCCUUUUAGGAUAUUUCUAUUCAUCUCACACAUAUGAAUAUGGGUUUUGAAAGUCUUUCACAUAUUCACAAAGGUUUAAACUUAAUACAUGUAACUCAAUUUUUAAGUCUUUCUCUUCUUUGAAGGGUUCAAACUUUGAGUUCAUAUAUUUUUUAACUUUACGAUACGGUUCACAUAUCUACAUCUAUCCAAUGGUACGACUCAUCUACAUUCAGUGGCUGGAAUAUUAUGUAAUUUUUUUUUAGAAACGAUAAGUUUGAGCCAUAUUCUAGUUAGGGUUAAUGUAUAUUAGGUCAUACGUCAUACAUCAAUUGAAUCUAGAAACUUUGAUUAUUAUAUUAUCAAUCAAAUUUAGUAUAUGUAACUAGACUCUUUCAAUUAUUAGUAACAUGAGACUAUCCUCUUAGAAUAUUUCUUUUCAUCUCAUAUAUGAUUUGUCCCUGCACGAGUAUUAUUUCCUUGUAUUGUCUCUGACGUUGGCGUCUACAUGUACUUAAUAAGGGAGGUGCAAAAUAUAUCAAGCGAAAGGUUGUGUCUCUUCUGCCCCCCAAAACGUUUCGUUCGAAAUUCCCAUCUCACUACAGCAGUCUCUUUGACCUGCGGGAAUUGAUGUUCAUCCCAGGUACUCACUCCUACGAGCUUCUCUAUUUACAUUUCUUACCUGGAUCUUAUUGUUGGAUCACAGUACUACACUGAUUCGUGCUUCUGUUGAUGCAGCCAGAUGGGUUCAUUUGUUGCUUUUCCGCAUUCUAAAGCAAUGUAAGUCAUUGUUCGUGGAUGGAUGCAUGAUGUUUAGACAUGUUGUCCUUUUCCAAUUAAUGUUAGUGGAAUUGCAAUGCAUCAUGCAGUGUUCCCUAUGAUCGAACGUCUGGAGAAGCAAAAGAAAACCCACAAGGAAACCUUGGAACUGAUCGAGUUCUUAGCCUAUUAUCCUAGGCACAUGGAGUUCUAUUCCAAGGGAAGACGAAAAGGCAAGGAGGAAAGUCUUCUUGUUGGAGACAUCACCAGUUCUACAACAAGACAGUCUCCUCCGUCAACAGACGCUGGUGAAGGCCAAGGAGUAAAUGGAGGAGGGAACCGAGAUCAAGACUUUGAUAGGUUUGCGGAAAAGCUAUUUAUGUAUAUGUCGCACAAGGAUGCCAAUCACGAAGCAGUAGCAAAAGAGCUCAAGAAGAGCAUGAAGGAGUCGAUGGAGGAAGUGUCCGGUGAAUCCACAAUUAGAAGAUGGGACGAGCCGCCCCUGAUCUUGGGUGCACAAAUGGGUCUUCCUGAGUUCGUCAGGACGAUCUUGCUAGUAUGUUCGCAGGCAGCAGCAUACCUGGACACCAAGGGGAGAAGCGUUCUCCAAGUCGCAGUCAUGUAUCGUCGCGAGGAGAUUGUCAAGAUCAUAAUGGACAUGAGAAACAUUUUACCAUCCUGGUUAUUUUCCGAAAUCGAACCCAAAACCGGGAACACCAUCGUGCAUCUUGCUUCACGUGGAAGCCCUGAUGUAGCAAAGGAAGCGCAAGACGAACCGGAUGCAAUGCAACUGCAUUACGAUUUAGUAUGGUUUGAGGUAAAGUUGCUAAACUUUUUUGCCCCCCUCCUCAAAUUUUGACAUGCUUCUCAAAAGUAUUAUCCGUUCAAUUCUUUGACAUGCAUUCUUCGGUGUCGGUUGUGGGUUAUUCGCGCAUAAUACAAAAUAACCAACAAAUACACAAAUAAAAUCUACGUAUUCUCAGAGUUGCGUACUAAAUUUGAUCGUUUUCUGACAUUUGAAUGCAGACGGUGAGAGAUAUGGUUCCUAAGGAAUUAGUGUACAGUCGGAACGCGCAAACGAAGACCGCAGAAGAGAUGUUUACUGAGAGUCACCGAGCGAUGCUAAAGAGUUACAAGGGUCAACUAAUGGAAACGGGCAGGACGUGUUCAGGGCUUGUCGCUGCUGUAGUGUUCGCGUCGAGCUUCUCCAUCCCCGGCGAUAAGGACCCAGCGACCGGCAACCCGGUUUACUUCGGUAGGCCAGCUUUUAAGGUCUUCUCACAUGCGUACGUGAUUGGGUUGUCAUGCGCCGCCACAUCUCUGGUGUUGUUCUUAUCCCUCGCUAUGUCACCUUACAACGAGCAGCAGUUCCAUCGUAUCAUCCCAACCAAAUACUUCUUUGCCCGCUCGUCGUUUGCGAUGGCGAUGCUGUCUUUUCUGGUGGCGUUCACCUGCAACAUCUACCUACAGAUGUAUGGCUGGCAGAAGGCGAAGUCGAAGGACUUGAUUCCAUUCGUAUUGGAGCUCACCGUCUUCCCCGUCAUCUGUUUCCUGGUGUUGUUCUUUCGUGGCUCCGAUUUCGUCUUUGGGGUUGAGUCAACAAGCAUGAUCGUCCACAUCGUUGGAAUCUGCAGCUUCAUGAUGCACGUGGGUUGUACCUAUUACGGUAUGCCACCUGUUCUAGUGGUGUGUGGUGGUGGUAGUCAUUGGACAGUUAAUAACUUGUGUGUACGGGCAGCGACAAAGGCAUGUGGUGUAUAGACAACAGAGCUGGUCACCAAUAAUGGUGAUGGGCCUCUCUAUUGUUUUUGACGAAGUCAAUAUGACACAACUGUUGACCGGAUCUCACCCUGUAUUGUAAUGUAUACUGUCACAUGUCGAGCGACAGAUUUCCCCUAUCGCAUGCAAAUUGCAGUGAGAUGUAUGGACGUCCUUUUGGUUUCCCAGAGGUCGGCUAGAAGAUAGGCUCGAGUUUUAUUGAAUCUUCUGUGACAAAUCACAUAGUCUAUAUCGUAAAGUUCUGGCCCGCCAAAGUUUGCACAGGCAAACGAAAUGAUUGGCUUAUAGAAGCCAAUCAUUCAAGAAGCGAAGGACAUCAAUUUUGGAUUAAAAAAAUAUCAACAAAAAAAAAAUUCACCUUUGUAGAAAGGAAAGAAAACCCUCCUUCGCAUCAUCUAUGGAGUCGAAUAAGAAAGAUUUAAGAAAAGAUAGAAAUGAUCCGAGUGAAGAAGACAAAUUAACGAGCAGCAAUGCUCGUCUAUUCCAAAGACCUGCCACGAGAAUAAUACAGCGAGAAAAAAUGAAAAGAAAAGAAAAGAAAGAAGCUUAUUUAUGAGGUGCGAAAGGUUAUGGACAUCCGAUUCACACUGUUGUAGCCGAUGGUUACUAUCCUCCUCCGAAGCCAACUUGUGCUCGGCUACUUUGAUUCCUUUCUCUAUGACUGUCUCAAGUGCCGCUCGUCCUUUUCCAAUUACUUUUUAUAUAAAAUUAAUAUAUUUUAUAUAACAAAAGAGUAAUUUAUAUAUAUAAAAAAAUUAUUCUAAAUUAUUCAAAAUAUAUUAUUACACUAUCAUUCAAAGAAUGUGUUGCAUAUUAAUUUUUUUUAUAUAUAAAGAAUCCUAUUAAACAUGAGGUAUUACAAAAAAAAAAUAGCUCUCUCCAACAACCUCCUGUCAUGUCAACUUCUAGUAAAAUCCCUUUUAGCUUGAGAAAAGAAGUUCUUCGUUAAUACUAUAAUUGAGACUGCCACCGCAAGUAAAACCAGUGUUUGGUACCCUGUCUCCGUUCCACCAUGCGCUGACGUUAUCAGAUUCCCUUUCGCUGAUCUAUACAUCUUAUUGUCAUAAGACGUGAGACUGAAAGUGAUAUGUUGGAGGAAACUAUUAAUUAUAUUUCUAUUUAUUAUUGGUUGACCGAUGGAGAUGAUUACUUUACUUGAGAUGUCAUGUUGAGGUAAUUAAAUCAUGCCAACGCAGAUUCGAAUAAUAAAAUUCUAUUAGCUUGUCAUUAAGCAAAAGACACCCACUCGAAGAUAACUUGAUUUGGAGCUACAAAUGAUAACACUGAGAGCAAAAGAUUCAAUAAAGAGAUGUUGCCAUAAUCCCGGGUGCAUAAAAAGAAUCGGAGACCAACCAAAGGGUCGUCAACUCCAAAGACUUGCGAUGAGUAUGAUCUACAAAAACUUUUCUAUAAGGUGCAAGUUGAAUGAUCGGUGGAGACCCACAAGUAGAGCUUUGGGUGCAGGCUUCCGGAUUAUUGUUUCCUGUAGAGCAAGAAUCGUUGACCCACAAGUUAAAGCUGCUGUCUAGCUUUAACGUAUGUGAAUUAUUCAUUAGUAGGUUGGCCUCUGUAACAUACGAUUAAUUUGUUGUCGAAUCUUUUGUGAAUGAGAUGGAGGGUGCUUAAUUUGUUAGUGAAAGAAAAGUCAAUAAUGAGAAAAAGGGCAGAGAAGAAAACGCAAGAUGAAAGCUCAUCUGGAGAGUUCUUCAUGGCAGUGCCACUUUAAGAGGGGAGAUAGGUUGGAAGGGGUCCAAAGGGGAUCUGUACUAAACUUGGAACGGUUUAGCUGGUUUGAGCAAAGAAUCCGACGCCAUUUUCCGACACUAAGCGACGCCAAUCGACUGAAAAGGAGGGAGGCGUACGACGAUGGAUGAGAGCCAAAAGGAUAAGCUAAUCUGCUUGUUAAGGCAGGCCUUCAGGUUUCUUUAGUUUCGCAGUAGAAAUCAGGAGGCGAAGGCGUACGAACGAGUUGUACGCACCAUAUAGCAACUGCACCAUAUAUAUUUUUGGUCGGUGAGAACGUAGCGAAAGGAGCGGCUCCCUUCGGUGUGUUUUGGAUAUGACGGCUCCUUCCACCACCCAAAAGCUGACGCCUGCUGCAGAUGUAGGCACCGGAUCAGGGAGAAAAGUAGAGAAACAGCCGUCUGUACCCGGGAAAUCGCAGCCUGCACACGGCGCAGGUGGUGGUGGAUCAGAGGAGCCACCGCAUGCCCUGGACGUGGCACGCUUCCGCCGGCUGAACUCGCUCAUCCACCGUGAGAACGUGGACGCGAACAAACUCCUGCGUCUAGUGGAGCAGGAUAACCACGUGAACCUCAUGAACGACCCCUUGCUCAGCGUCGUCAUCGCCUGCAAGAAGCCCAAGCUCGCCUGCAGCCUCAUCGACAAAAUAUCAUCAAAUGACAUUCUCAAGGCCAGCAACUUAAACGGCGACACGGCGCUUCACGUAGCUGCCGCCAUGGACGACAAAGAAGUGGCCUCGAAGCUGAUCGACAGGGUGCCAGAUCUCGUUCAUAUGCAGAACGUGAAACAGGAGAUACCGCUACAUAAGGCGGCGCUGUACGGGCUGCUGGACAUGUUCUGGCUGCUGGUGGAAAAUAACAGCUCACCGAAAGCCCGGAGGGAGGACGGCGCCACCAUGCUGCACUGUGCCAUCAUGGGCAACGCGCCGGGUAAGCGAUCAUCACCAGUUUUGUUGGUCUGGCGCUGGCCAGCUGUCUUUCUCUUGUUUUUAUCCUAUUUUUUUGAAGUGUUGUAUGUGGAUCAUACUGCUUCCGCAUCUUUGGUGUGAUCAAGGUGAGUGAGUCGACGCAGGGCUUGCACUGGAGAUUGCAAAGCGUUUUCCAUUGCUGAUCACAUCGCGGAAUACUAUGGCGGUAACCCCGUUGCAGCUGAUGGUGACCGUUCCGGGGUUAUUCCGAAGCCAAAUGGUAAUUGGCGGCUUCGAGUCCAUCCUCCAUGACUGUAAGUGCUGCCCCGCCUCUUCCUUCAACGCCCCCAGCGCCCCGCCCUCCCCCCUGCUUCUCUAUUUAUUGCACUACAUUUCCUACUAACGACUACCUUAAUUUAGCGAUCGUUCGACGUCCAAAUUUAUCGAGAAUUUACCAAGGGGUGUUUUGUUUCUCAUUAUCGGGACACAUAUACCCUUGAUUUUUUGGAUUUAUUAUAUGGUUUUGUGUUAAACCGAAUCAAAUCUAAUCGGUCGAAUCUGGUUUGCACUCUGUUCUUUUUUCUUUCACAUGUCUCCUCCUCCUUCCCUCGAUUCGCCCUUUUUGUUGUCACCCUUUCACCCUUAUUCUUUCUUCUUCAAGGAGGAGGAGGAGAGGAAGCGACACAAGGUUGACCGGUUCAUUGAACCGGUUCGCUCAUCGAAACUGUUUUUGUGAAUCAUUUCAAAAAGUUUGAAACGAAAUUAAUUGGAAUAGGAGGAUAAAGUUAGAAUUUACCAAAAAAAAAAACAUUCCUAAAUAAUUUCUGAAUAGAGGGGCGUGAUAGAAACCAAUUACUAAUAAUCUUUUAGGUGAAUUAUUAUUAUUAUUAUUAUUAUUAUUAUUAUUAUUAUUAUUAUUAUUAUUAUUAUUAUAUAUAAAUAUAAUAUGGUGUAACGGAAUUAUUGACUUAGUAACUUCACUGAACUUGGAUCGUUGAUCUGAAUAAUUAAGUUUAAAUUAAUAAUAAUACACUCAUCAAAUCUCUAUAAAUUAAUCUUAGAAUUUGUCUACUUUUAAUUUUCGAUGUGAAGUAAAAUUAUAAUUGUUCUCAGAAAAAUAUAGUUAUGAUGAAACUUAAACAUCAAGCAUUUUGAUACCAGUAGUGUACAUGCUCCUAAAAUUUUGAUUUUACAUUUCAGUUAUUCCUUUGGAGAAGGACUCAGACAGGACUCGUCGAAGAGAUGAAGAGGAGGCAAGUGGAAGCUCCAACGAUGCCGGUGUAUGUGAUUCAAAUCAUCAACAUCUUUUCCAUCACAAUAUCAAUAGUCCACUAUUGUCUCUCUGAUUUGUUUCUCUUUUUGGCGUCUACAUAUAUAUAAUCUCAAGCAAGCUGAGGGCACAGAACAAGAUGACCACGAAUAUUUCGGGAGGCAGAGAACAAUUCGUUCGAGAUUUCCAUCUUGCUGCUGUACUCUCGUUGACAUAUUAGUCAUCCCAGGCACUCCUACUAGCUUCUCUGUCUACAAUUUUUGUAGUCAUCCAUGUUCUGUUUCAUUACGCUGAUGUUUUCCUUUUUGUCCUUGCAGUCAAAUGGGUUCGUCUGUUUCUCUUCAUCAUUUUAAAGACCUGUGAGUAAUUGUUCCCAAACAGUACAUUGAUGAUAUUUAGAACCAUGUCCUACUGUUUCAUUACGAGUUUUAGCAAAUUAGGAAAGUACUAUAGAAAAGGCUUCUUGUAAUUUAGUUCUCCAAAACCAAGUAGUUUACAUGAUGGAUAAUUAUAGCUUAUUUGCGGAAAAACAUAGAUGGGAUGAUCAUGUCGCUGACUUCUUCUGAUGUUAAUUUGGAGAUGCAAUGCGUUUAAGAUUAAUUUAGUUCUUCUGAUGAUCAUGUCGGAAAAACAUAAAUGCAGUGUACCCUCGAACCCGACAUCUGGAGAAGAUUAAGAGAACCCAUAGAAAAGCCUUGGAACUCAUCGAAUUUUUAGCCCGCGAACCGAGAAACAUGGAGUUCUACGUGCUGGGAAGCAAACAAGGUGACGGCGGAGCUCCUGCGGCAGGCUUUCGAGAAAGUGGUGGGCGACAAGAUCAACUUAAUGCACCAGCUGCGUCUACCAGAAGAUGGAAUGAGCCACCCUUGAUCUUGGGUGCACAAAUGGGCAUUCCCGAGUUCGUCAGUACGAUCUUACGAGUGUGUCCGCAGGCAGCUACGUACCUGGACACCGGUGGCCGAAGCGUUCUCCAAGUAGCAAUAAAGCAUGGUAACCGAGAGAUUGUGAGAACUAUACGUGAGAUGACUCGGGGGAAUAAUCCCAUACUACCAUCCUGGCUACUGUCCCGUGUCGACAAAGGGACCGGAAGAACCAUCCUACACCUUGCGUCGGCAAAUGCCCCCAAGCAUACCCAAGAUGCUCUACAAAUGCAAGAUGAAUUAAGAUGGUUUGAGGUCAAGUCCCUAACUACAUUAACUACAAAUAAAAUCUUUACAUUCUCGGAGCUGCCUACUAAAUUUGAUCGUUUUCUGACAUUUGUAUGCAGAGGGUGAGAGAUAUGGUUCCUAAGGAAUUAGUGUACAGUCGAAACGCGCAAGAGAUGACCGCAGAAGAGAUGUUUACUCUGAGUCACCAAGCUUUGCUCAAGAAUUGCAAGGAUCAACUAAUGGAAACGGGCAGGCUGUGUUCAGGGCUGGUCGCAGCUGUAGUGUUCGCGUCGAGCUUCUCAGUCCCCGGCGAUAAGGACCCAGCCACCGGCAACCCGGUUUACUUCGGUAGGGCAGCUUUUACGGUCUUCUCACACACGUACGUGUUUGGGCUUUCAUGCGCCGCGACAUCUCUGGUGUUGUUCUUAUCCCUCGCCAUGUCACCUUACAAGGAACAGCAGUUCCGUCGUAUCAUCCCAAUCAAAUACUUCUUUGCCCGCUCGUCGUUUGGGUUGGCGAUGCUGUCUUUUCUGGUGGCGUUCACCUGCAACAUCUACCUGCAGUUAUAUGGCUGGCAGAAGACGAAGUCGAAGGACUUGAUUCCAUUCAUAUUGGAGCUCACCGCCUUCCCUUUCAUCUGUUUCCUGGUGUUAUUCUUUUAUGGCUCCAAGUUCUUUUAUGGCUCCAAGUUCGGUCUAUCUUUUCUUUUUCGUUCUUGGCGUUGAGUCAACAAGCAUGAUCGUCCACAUCCUUCGAAUCUGCAGCUUCAUGAUGUACGUGGGUUAUACCUAUUACGGUAUGCCGCCUGUUCCAGUGGUGUGUGGUGGUGGUAGUCAUUGGACAGUUAAUAACUUAUGUGUACAAGCAGCGACAAAGGCAUGUGAUGUAUGGACGCUAUUUGAUUGCAACUUUAAUGUGGU